Molecule: ribosomal RNA, 324 nt
Filed under: uncultured eukaryote
Lineage: Eukaryota
Description: partial 18S ribosomal RNA
Rfam family: Eukaryotic small subunit ribosomal RNA
Source: RNAcentral
CCCUUAGAUGUCCUGGGCCGCACGCGCGCUACAAUGAUGCAACCAACGAGUGCUGCUCCUUGGCCGAGAGGCCCGGGGAACCUUGCAAACUGCAUCGUGCUGGGGAUAGAUGAUUGCAAUUCUUCAUCUUGAACGAGGAAUGCCUUGUAAGCGUGAGUCAUCAACUCGCGCUGAAUACGUCCCUGCCCUUUGUACACACCGCCCGUCGCUCCUACCGAUUGAAUGUUUCGGUGAAGAUUCCGGAUAGGACUUUUUUGAUUUAUUUCAAUUCUGUCUUAAAAGCUAUCUAAACCUCAACAUUUAGAGGAAGGUGAAGUCGUAACA